Molecule: non-coding RNA, 133 nt
Organism: Desulfitobacterium hafniense DCB-2
Lineage: Bacteria; Bacillati; Bacillota; Clostridia; Eubacteriales; Desulfitobacteriaceae
Source: Rfam
ACUGAAAAAGAUCUCCGAGCCGGAAUGAACCUAAAGAGCAAUUCUAUGGACACCGGACAGGGCCCAGGCCCUCGGGGUAUACUUGGAAACGGGUAUGCCUUCACGUUUGAAAAGGAGGUGGAUUAAAGCCAAC